Molecule: ribosomal RNA, 1645 nt
Filed under: Escherichia coli
Lineage: Bacteria; Pseudomonadati; Pseudomonadota; Gammaproteobacteria; Enterobacterales; Enterobacteriaceae
Description: partial 23S ribosomal RNA
Rfam family: Bacterial large subunit ribosomal RNA
Source: RNAcentral
UUAGGCGUGUGACUGCGUACCUUUUGUAUAAUGGGUCAGCGACUUAUAUUCUGUAGCAAGGUUAACCGAAUAGGGGAGCCGAAGGGAAACCGAGUCUUAACUGGGCGUUAAGUUGCAGGGUAUAGACCCGAAACCCGGUGAUCUAGCCAUGGGCAGGUUGAAGGUUGGGUAACACUAACUGGAGGACCGAACCGACUAAUGUUGAAAAAUUAGCGGAUGACUUGUGGCUGGGGGUGAAAGGCCAAUCAAACCGGGAGAUAGCUGGUUCUCCCCGAAAGCUAUUUAGGUAGCGCCUCGUGAAUUCAUCUCCGGGGGUAGAGCACUGUUUCGGCAAGGGGGUCAUCCCGACUUACCAACCCGAUGCAAACUGCGAAUACCGGAGAAUGUUAUCACGGGAGACACACGGCGGGUGCUAACGUCCGUCGUGAAGAGGGAAACAACCCAGACCGCCAGCUAAGGUCCCAAAGUCAUGGUUAAGUGGGAAACGAUGUGGGAAGGCCCAGACAGCCAGGAUGUUGGCUUAGAAGCAGCCAUCAUUUAAAGAAAGCGUAAUAGCUCACUGGUCGAGUCGGCCUGCGCGGAAGAUGUAACGGGGCUAAACCAUGCACCGAAGCUGCGGCAGCGACGCUUAUGCGUUGUUGGGUAGGGGAGCGUUCUGUAAGCCUGUGAAGGUGUACUGUGAGGUAUGCUGGAGGUAUCAGAAGUGCGAAUGCUGACAUAAGUAACGAUAAAGCGGGUGAAAAGCCCGCUCGCCGGAAGACCAAGGGUUCCUGUCCAACGUUAAUCGGGGCAGGGUGAGUCGACCCCUAAGGCGAGGCCGAAAGGCGUAGUCGAUGGGAAACAGGUUAAUAUUCCUGUACUUGGUGUUACUGCGAAGGGGGGACGGAGAAGGCUAUGUUGGCCGGGCGACGGUUGUCCCGGUUUAAGCGUGUAGGCUGGUUUUCCAGGCAAAUCCGGAAAAUCAAGGCUGAGGCGUGAUGACGAGGCACUACGGUGCUGAAGCAACAAAUGCCCUGCUUCCAGGAAAAGCCUCUAAGCAUCAGGUAACAUCAAAUCGUACCCCAAACCGACACAGGUGGUCAGGUAGAGAAUACCAAGGCGCUUGAGAGAACUCGGGUGAAGGAACUAGGCAAAAUGGUGCCGUAACUUCGGGAGAAGGCACGCUGAUAUGUAGGUGAAGUCCCUCGCGGAUGGAGCUGAAAUCAGUCGAAGAUACCAGCUGGCUGCAACUGUUUAUUAAAAACACAGCACUGUGCAAACACGAAAGUGGACGUAUACGGUGUGACGCCUGCCCGGUGCCGGAAGGUUAAUUGAUGGGGUUAGCGCAAGCGAAGCUCUUGAUCGAAGCCCCGGUAAACGGCGGCCGUAACUAUAACGGUCCUAAGGUAGCGAAAUUCCUUGUCGGGUAAGUUCCGACCUGCACGAAUGGCGUAAUGAUGGCCAGGCUGUCUCCACCCGAGACUCAGUGAAAUUGAACUCGCUGUGAAGAUGCAGUGUACCCGCGGCAAGACGGAAAGACCCCGUGAACCUUUACUAUAGCUUGACACUGAACAUUGAGCCUUGAUGUGUAGGAUAGGUGGGAGGCUUUGAAGUGUGGACGCCAGUCUGCAUGGAGCCGACCUUGAAAUACCACCCUUUAAUGUUU